Molecule: long non-coding RNA, 306 nt
Filed under: Capsicum annuum
Lineage: Eukaryota; Viridiplantae; Streptophyta; Magnoliopsida; Solanales; Solanaceae
Description: long non-coding RNA (CANN_LNC017889)
Source: RNAcentral
GCACGCGUCAAUAAAGGUAUGCAAAGAAAUUUAAUAAGGCAUGUGACGAUGGGGCCCACUGCGUACCCGACUUGCAUUAUUAAAGUUUUCUUUCUUAUCCUUUAUCAAAAGUGUCGGCCAACUAUACUUAGGCCACGUAGCAGUUUUAUAACCACUCUUUCGUGUAAAUUUUUGCCUAUAAAAGGCACUCAUUUGUAGUAGCAAAAGGGACAGAGAAGCAAGAACCAACUCCACAUCUCCUUGUAAUGUUUAGCCCCUUUCUCCCAAACAACCUGUCUACCUACAACCAGUAAAUUUUCCAUUGUA